This 407-nucleotide ribosomal RNA is filed under the name Verrucomicrobiota bacterium. RNAcentral's name for it is "Verrucomicrobia bacterium partial 16S ribosomal RNA". It matches the Rfam family "Bacterial small subunit ribosomal RNA", at positions 355 to 776 of the family's 1533-position model. The record is from RNAcentral. Lineage: Bacteria; Pseudomonadati; Verrucomicrobiota.
UGGGGAAUAUUGGGCAAUGGGCGAAAGCCUGACCCAGCAACGCCGCGUGAAGUAUGAAGGCCUUCGGGUUGUAAACUUCUUUGAUCAGGGAAGAAACAAAUGACGGUACCUGAAAAACAAGCCACGGCUAACUACGUGCCAGCAGCCGCGGUAAUACGUAGGUGGCGAGCGUUAUCCGGAUUUACUGGGUGUAAAGGGCGUGCAGGCGGGCUGAUAAGUCAGAUGUGAAAACUAAGGGCUCAACCCAUAGAUUGCAUCUGAAACUGUUAUGCUUGAGUCAAGGAGAGGAAAGUGGAAUUCCUGGUGUAGCGGUGGAAUGCGUAGAUAUUAGGAGGAAUACCGGUGGCGAAGGCGACUUUCUGGACUUGAACUGACGCUGAGGCACGAAAGCGUGGGGAGCAAACAGG